This 253-nucleotide ribosomal RNA is filed under the name uncultured bacterium. RNAcentral's name for it is "partial 16S ribosomal RNA". It matches the Rfam family "Bacterial small subunit ribosomal RNA", at positions 524 to 776 of the family's 1533-position model. The record is from RNAcentral.
UACGUAGGGACCAAGCGUUGUUCGGAUUUACUGGGCGUAAAGGGCGCGUAGGCGGCGUGACAAGUCACUUGUGAAAUCUCCGGGCUUAACUCGGAACGGUCAAGUGAUACUGUCGCGCUAGAGUGCGGAAGGGGCAAUCAGAAUUCUUGGUGUAGCGGUGAAAUGCGUAGAUAUCAAGAGGAAUACCUGAGGUGAAGACGGGUUGCUAGGCCGACACUGACGCUGAAGCGCGAAAGCCAGGGGAGCAAACGGG